GGGACUGCUGGCGCCCGCCACUACGCUCGGCUAAUUUUUUUGUGUUUUUAGUAGAGACGGGCUUUCACCGUGUUGGCCUAGCGGUUCUCCAACUCCUGACCUCAUGAUCCCCCCGCCUCAGCCUCCCAAAGUGCUGGGAUUACAAGCGUGAGCCACCGCGACCCGCCAACACUCUUGACAACAGUGCUGUGCUAAGAACUUGGGGGACUUCAAAAAGUUCACCAGUUCCUGUGUCCAUGGGUGAAAAGAUUUUCUACAUCUUUCCUUGACUAGAAACAGAAGUCCUGAAACAAGAAUAUAACGUCAGGAGGCCAGAGGCUUUGUCCUGCCUAAUGUGUUAUUUCCACACUGAAUAAAAGCACCUGAGUCCUGGUAAGUCUAAUUUGCUAGGUGUGGCAAUAUGACCAGUGAAAAACAACAAGGGCAGCAUUUCCUGCAGUUCGGUGGCACAGUAUGGUUCAAAGAGGUAUAAAAGGAAGUCACAGGCAUUUUAAAAAGGUUGUACAUCUAGCAAUACCUAACAAAAUAGGAAAUCAACUUGUGUCAUUGCAAGAGCAGUUUAGACAAGGCUACAAAUCUACAAGAUGACAUCAGUUAAUACAGUGAAGACAGCUGGAAAUGCAGAGCAUUCAUACAGGAGGCAAUGUAUUGUAAUGGAGAUUUCCGUUUCAUUUCUCAGCAGAGAGCAGCCACUGUCUUUUGUGUUUGGAUAGACAUAUGGAUAUAAGAAAAAUUAUAGAAUAGGAUAGAAGACAUAGUAAUCUAAUGAGUGUUCUGACUGAAUGUUCUAACCUAUGAAAUUAUCAGUCCAAAACUACAUGUUCAGAACUUACGUGCAACAUUAUCUUGCGUUAUAUUAGUAAGUACAUUAAAGGAAAUAGUGGGAAGAAUAAAAUUAAGAGAAGAAAAAAGGUUUUUUUUUCUUUUUACUUGAAGAGCUUCUUUUCAGGAAUGGUAUGAGUUUUUCCCCAAGCCACCUUAAUUUUAAAGUGGCUAUAAGAACCCAGAGAGUGGUACUAAAAGUAACUAAAAGUCUCUUAAGAGGUACUUGCUUUUCAAAGCUAUUGCUGAGAUUCAUGUAAAUUAAAUGUGUGCAAAGAAAAAUGUGUAGAGAAUUAUUUUAACACUCUUGACUGCUUCCUCCAAUUUGAAUUUGUUGGAUUUCUUUUUACUCUCCCAAAGUCCACUUAAAGAAAGAAAUGUUCAAUAUUAAAUUAAGAAACAUUAAGAGAAAUACAUAUUUC
RNAcentral lists this long non-coding RNA (1244 nucleotides) under Homo sapiens (human). Its description in RNAcentral is "long intergenic non-protein coding RNA 2327". The record is from RNAcentral. Lineage: Eukaryota; Metazoa; Chordata; Mammalia; Primates; Hominidae.